RNAcentral lists this ribosomal RNA (468 nucleotides) under uncultured bacterium. RNAcentral's name for it is "partial 16S ribosomal RNA". It matches the Rfam family "Bacterial small subunit ribosomal RNA", at positions 28 to 507 of the family's 1533-position model. The record is from RNAcentral.
GACGAACGCUGGCGGCGUGCUUAACACAUGCAAGUCGAACGGAAAGGCCCUGCUUUUGUGGGGUGCUCGAGUGGCGAACGGGUGAGUAACACGUGAGUAACCUGCCCUUGACUUUGGGAUAACUUCAGGAAACUGGGGCUAAUACCGGAUAGGAGCUCCUGCUGCAUGGUGGGGGUUGGAAAGUUUCGGCGGUUGGGGAUGGACUCGCGGCUUAUCAGCUUGUUGGUGGGGUAGUGGCUUACCAAGGCUUUGACGGGUAGCCGGCCUGAGAGGGUGACCGGCCACAUUGGGACUGAGAUCCGGCCCAGACUCCUACGGGAGGCAGAAGUGGGGAAUAUUGCACAAUGGGCGGAAGCCUGAUGCAGCAACGCAGCGUGCGGGAUGACGGCCUUCGGGUUGUAAACCGCUUUCGCCUGUGACGAAGCGUGAGUGACGGUAAUGGGUACAGAAGCACCGGCUAACUACGUG